This 72-nucleotide transfer RNA is filed under the name Phrynosoma platyrhinos (Desert horned lizard). RNAcentral's name for it is "tRNA-OTHER". The record is from RNAcentral. Lineage: Eukaryota; Metazoa; Chordata; Lepidosauria; Squamata; Phrynosomatidae.
GCCAGCAUAGUGUAAUGGUCUGAGUGUUGGACUAUGACUCUGGAGACCGGGGUUCAAUUCCCAGCUUGGACA